UACGGAGGGUGCACGCGUUGUUCGGAAUUACUGGGCGUCCCGCGCGCGUCGGCGGUUUGUUCCGUCCGCUGUUCCCGCCCCUUUCUCCCCCCUUUCUUUUCAUUUGAAACUGGCAGACUUGAGUAUUGGAGGGGGUGGUGGAAUUCCCGGUGUAGAGGUGAAAUUCGUAGAUAUCGGGAGGAAUACCAGUGGCGAAGGCGACCACCUGGCCAAAUACUGACGCUGAGGUGCGAAAGCGUGGGGAGCAAACAGG
Molecule: ribosomal RNA, 253 nt
Filed under: uncultured Desulfocapsa sp.
Lineage: Bacteria; Pseudomonadati; Thermodesulfobacteriota; Desulfobulbia; Desulfobulbales; Desulfocapsaceae
Description: partial 16S ribosomal RNA
Rfam family: Bacterial small subunit ribosomal RNA
Source: RNAcentral